GAUGAACGCUGGCGGCGUGCCUAAUACAUGCAAGUCGAGCGAACGGACGAGAAGCUUGCUUUUCUGAUGUUAGCGGCGGACGGGUGAGUAACACGUGGAUAACCUACCUAUAAGACUGGGAUAACUUCGGGGAACCGGAGCUAAUACCGGAUAAUAUUUUGAACCGCAUGGUUCAAAAGUGAAAGACGGUCUUGCUGUCACUUAUAGAUGGAUCCGCGCUGCAUUAGCUAGUUGGUAAGGUAACGGCUUACCAAGGCAACGAUGCAUAGCCGACCUGAGAGAGUGAUCGGCCACACUGGAACUGAAACACGGUCCAGACUCCUACGGGAGGCAGCAGUAGGGAAUCUUCCGCAAUGGGCGAAAGCCUGACGGAGCAACGCCGCGUGAGUGAUGAAGGUCUUCGGAUCGUAAAACUCUGUUAUUAGGGAAGAACAUAUGUGUAAGUAACUGUGCACAUCUUGACGGUACCUAAUCAGAAAGCCACGGCUAACUACGUG
Molecule: ribosomal RNA, 497 nt
Filed under: uncultured bacterium
Lineage: Bacteria
Description: partial 16S ribosomal RNA
Rfam family: Bacterial small subunit ribosomal RNA
Source: RNAcentral